RNAcentral lists this ribosomal RNA (148 nucleotides) under Escherichia coli. RNAcentral's name for it is "partial 16S ribosomal RNA". It matches the Rfam family "Bacterial small subunit ribosomal RNA", at positions 1 to 142 of the family's 1533-position model. Lineage: Bacteria; Pseudomonadati; Pseudomonadota; Gammaproteobacteria; Enterobacterales; Enterobacteriaceae. The record is from RNAcentral.
AAAUUGAAGAGUUUGAUCAUGGCUCAGAUUGAACGCUGGCGGCAGGCCUAACACAUGCAAGUCGAACGGUAACAGGGAUCAGCUUGCUGAUUCGCUGACGAGUGGCGGACGGGUGAGUAAUGUCUGGGAAACUGCCUGAUGGAGGGGG